This 253-nucleotide ribosomal RNA is filed under the name uncultured bacterium. RNAcentral describes it as "partial 16S ribosomal RNA". It matches the Rfam family "Bacterial small subunit ribosomal RNA", at positions 524 to 776 of the family's 1533-position model. The record is from RNAcentral.
UACGGAGGGUGCAAGCGUUAAUCGGAAUUACUGGGCGUAAAGCGCGCGUAGGCGGCUGUGUAAGUCGAUUGUGAAAUCCCCGGGCUCAACCUGGGAAUUGCAGUCGAGACUGCUCGGCUAGAGUGUGGGAGAGGGUGGUGGAAUUCCCGGUGUAGCGGUGAAAUGCGUAGAUAUCGGGAGGAACAGCAAUGGAGAAGGCGACCACCGGGAUCUACACUGACGCUGAGGUGCGAAAGCGUGGGUAGCAAACAGG